Molecule: unclassified non-coding RNA, 390 nt
Filed under: soil metagenome
Description: partial contains 5.8S ribosomal RNA, internal transcribed spacer 2, and large subunit ribosomal RNA
Rfam family: 5.8S ribosomal RNA (bases 1-120)
Source: RNAcentral
GAUGAAGAACGUAGCGAAGUGCGAUAAGUAAUGUGAAUUGCAGAAUUCCGUGAAUCAUCGAAUCUUUGAACGCAAAUUGCACUCUCUGGCAACCCGGGGAGUAUGCCUGUUUGAGGGUCAGUGUUAAUAAAAAUCGGUGCGUCGCAAUUUUUUUGUGAUGUUUCCGGAGUUUGAGUUAUCUUAACUCUUCUGGGUUUUUAAGAGGCUUAAAAUUGACCUUUUUUGUGCAUUUUAGACGUACAUAAAUUUUUUUUUAUUCGUCUAUCUUAAUGCCAAAAUCUAUUAGAUGCGACCAUAUCAUGUGGUUUCGUGUCUAUAAAUUUUUUCAUGAUUUGACCUCAAAUCAGGUAGGAACACCCGCUGAACUUAAGCAUAUCAAUAAGCGGAGGA